Sphaeramia orbicularis (orbiculate cardinalfish) is the source of this 276-nucleotide long non-coding RNA. RefSeq lists it as uncharacterized. The record is from RefSeq and is a predicted model, not a curated record. The transcript is spliced from 3 exons. NCBI's taxonomy places the organism in Eukaryota, Metazoa, Chordata, Actinopteri, Kurtiformes, Apogonidae.
GCCUCAGGAGGCAGAACUCGUCACUGAAAUCUCCAAGUUACAAUGCAUGGUGUCGGAGCUGAAGUCGGGGUUUACCAGCGCCCUCCUGGAGCUCAGUCAGAUCCAGCAUGGAGAUACAUACCUGAGGGAGGAGAUGGAGGAGAACAGGAGGAGCUGCCAAAAGAAAGCCCUUCGUCUGGAGGCACUGGUCGAGGCACUGAGGGAGGAGCUCAGUGUGAUGCGAUGUCAGAUUUUGCAGCUUUACAGUAACAGACAGAGACCUCAGCAGGACGUGAA